UUGAGUUUGAGAUAAUCCAAAAUACGUAAAUCAAUUCGUAUAACCACUAAAUCGCCAUGUUCAAAAUCGCCAAAACGUCCAAUAACACCCUCAAAACAUCCCCAAAAAGAGCUUCAAAAAAAUGGCCGCUAAAAUUUAAAAAAUAAGCCAAAAAACCUUUUUGCAUCAAUAUGAAUUUACAAGAUUAUUCCAGGAUACCAAAUAUUCAAUUUAAAAGAAAUUUUUAUAAACCUUGGCACUGUUUUCGAAAAAGUAAACGACGAAAUUAUGGGAAGGAAUUUCAAUUUUUGACUUUCUGCAUUAUGGACAUGGAUGACUACAACUCUGUUGGUAUAGGUCAGAUAUUUUUUUUUCUUUGAUUUCAGGUAUAUUUAUUUCUAACUUAUAAUUAGUGGGUUCAGGUAUAUUGAUUUUUAAUUUAUAGUUUAUGAAUAUAUCCUUUUAACACAUACAUAAACUUAAAUAUAUCCUUUUAAUUCAUAUUGUAUUUUUUUAAAGAUGUUUUAUCUCUCUAAAUUGGUAACUUUAUUUGUAAAUUAUAUUAAUUUGCAUGAUACUAUAAUUUAUAUCCCCUCUUUAAUAGAAAUACUCACUGUUUCUUAUGUUUAAAAGUUAGUAUUAAUACUUAAUAUCCUAUAUUUAUUAAUACCUUGACUUAA
Long non-coding RNA from Gordionus sp. m RMFG-2023, 659 nucleotides. RefSeq lists it as uncharacterized. The record is from RefSeq and is a predicted model, not a curated record. The transcript has 3 exons. NCBI's taxonomy places the organism in Eukaryota, Metazoa, Nematomorpha, Gordioida, Chordodea, Parachordodidae.